GCUCCUGUGGCCUAGUGGUUAGAGCGUCCGUCCCGUAUGCGGAAGUUCGUGGAUUCGAACACCGGCCGAGUCA
Potamilus streckersoni is the source of this 73-nucleotide non-coding RNA. The record is from the annotation of a GenBank genome assembly. Lineage: Eukaryota; Metazoa; Mollusca; Bivalvia; Unionida; Unionidae.